GUGCCAGCAGCCGCGGUAAUACAGAGGGUGCAAGCGUUAAUCGGAUUUACUGGGCGUAAAGCGUGCGUAGGUGGCGAUUUAAGUCGGAUGUGAAAGCCCUGGGCUUAACCUGGGAACUGCAUUCGAUACUGGGUUGCUAGAGAUCGGUAGAGGGCAGCGGAAUUCCGGGUGUAGCGGUGAAAUGCGUAGAUAUCCGGAGGAACACCGAUGGCGAAGGCAACUGCCUGGGCCUGAUCUGACACUGAGGCACGAAAGCGUGGGUAGCAAACAGGAUUAGAUACCCCAGUAGUCC
Molecule: ribosomal RNA, 292 nt
Filed under: uncultured bacterium
Lineage: Bacteria
Description: partial 16S ribosomal RNA
Rfam family: Bacterial small subunit ribosomal RNA
Source: RNAcentral